UCUUUUCUCGAGACGCCGGUACUUCGAGUGCUAGAAUUUCUAUAAAAGAUUUGCGACCUCAUUUUUAUAUGAAAAACUACUAUUUAUACAUAGCAAAAACAACUGGAAAAAGCUAACUACCACAAAAAAACACUUCUUCCAUCGAAAACCGCAUGUCUUCACUAAGGAAACCGCUGCUUUUGAAUUUUAAUUCCUUCUUCUUCGACAUCAACUGCUUGGCUUCGACCAAAUUAGGUCCCGACUCAUGUCGUGUUGAACUUCGAGGCUUUUAACCCCUUCCAAAUACUAAGUCCAUACCUAUCGAAGACUCCAUGCUGAGGAUAAUGACUUUAAUUCCUAAAAAACAAAAGUCAACACAUGUUGACCGCAUUAAUUGAGUCUGUCAAAACUACAGGCUAACAACUACCACACUGAGUAAUAUGAUCCACGAUAUUACCAUUGAAAGUCGUAGUGAAACUGAGCCAAUUAGAAAUAAAAUACCAAAUUCCACCAAAAAAUUCACAAUUAACAAAUAGGUUAUGAACAUCUUCAUUAUUGCCGCAAUUUGUCGUAGAACCCUACUCAUUAGCUACUAAAAUAUGCCUCUUCCACAAAUUAUCCCUUGUCGGCACUCUAUUAAGUAUUAACCUCCAAGAAAAAAUAAAAACCUGAAGAGGGACUUCCUUUAGCCAAACAAAAUUGUAAGCAUCCUGAUGAUCAUUGAUGUCCAUUUCUGUCAAUUUAUUAUAAGCACUUCUAAUAUAAUAACACAUAGAACAAUGUAAAUGCCAAACCCAUUGAUCUAGUGAUCCAACUUGAGCAUUUAACAUUACAUUGAGAAUAAGAUAAAUCUUCUUUUUCAACAAAAUGACGACAUUAAGUUUGAAUUCAACAAGAAGAAUUAAUCUUCAAUGCACUUCAACCUUGUUUGUCACCGCAUGUUCGACUUUGCCUUAUUAUUGUUACUAGCACCAUGUCCACGUUGAAGUAUUCCAAAUCUUAGACAUUGGAUCUUGCAUAAUCAUGUUAC
This 1009-nucleotide long non-coding RNA is filed under the name Medicago truncatula (barrel medic). RNAcentral's name for it is "long non-coding RNA (MTRU_LNC001639)". The record is from RNAcentral. Lineage: Eukaryota; Viridiplantae; Streptophyta; Magnoliopsida; Fabales; Fabaceae.